ACAACAACAAGCACGGAGGGUUACUAUAACUGCGCAAGCAGCACCCUUGGAGGAAACAAAGAUGGUUUGGGGGUGGAGAAAGUGGGUUUCCUGUCACUGCACCCCUUUCCCCUGUUGCUGUACUACCUGUAGGGCACUGCCACUGGGAAUGUCAACAACAGGACAGCUCUGCUUGGCCGGAUCUCAGCUGGCAUGACUGGGAACGCUUCACUCUGCCUGAAAAUUUGAAGAACCACCGUGACAAAUCCAACAAACCAUUUCAACACACAAGAACUAUGUCUGCAAAGCCGUCAUGUCUUCUGUGCCUGCGAAAGGCCUUCUUUGAGAGACACAACAGCAGAGAGGGUGGGGGAACCCAACGGUUUGUUUUUCUGGUUCUGGAAGACAAAAUAUUCUGUAUGUUGUUCUACAGUGUGCAUUAGCCUGCUGAAAAGUAAGAUGAAAUAUUUGUUUUAUGAGAAUGAGGAAGAGGAAUCCUUCCCUCCACCCUUUACCAAUCUUCUCAUCAGCAUGCUGAUCUCUUGGCCUAAUUCCUGGCUCUUCUGCUGUUGAAUCUACUGGUAUAUGGAGAGCAAAGGUUGGCAAAGUGGGGUUGGGGAGAUAGAAAGGGGUAGAUUUUGUGUGUUUUUCCUGAAUUAUUUUGAUGUGAAAAGUGAUCACAGGUAGUGAGU
Elgaria multicarinata webbii is the source of this 671-nucleotide long non-coding RNA. RefSeq lists it as uncharacterized. The record is from RefSeq and is a predicted model, not a curated record. The transcript has 4 exons. Lineage: Eukaryota; Metazoa; Chordata; Lepidosauria; Squamata; Anguidae.